UAGGGAAUAUCGGCAAUGGGCGCAAGCCUGACCCAGCCAUGCCGCGUGCAGGAUGAAGGCGCUCAGCGUUGUAAACUGCUUUUAUCAGGGAAGAAAAGUAGUCCUGCGGGAUUAUGUGACGGUACCUGAGGAAUAAGCACCGGCUAACUCCGUGCCAGCAGCCGCGGUAAUACGGAGGGUGCAAGCGUUGUCCGGAUUUAUUGGGUUUAAAGGGUGCGUAGGUGGUUUUCUAAGUCUGGUUUGAAAGCUGGUGGCUUAACCAUCAGAUGUGGCUGGAAACUGGAGGACUUGAAUGCGUUGGCGGUAGCCGGAACGGGUCAUGUAGCGGUGAAAUGCAUAGAUAUGACCCAGAACACCGAUUGCGAAGGCAGGCUACUACGACGUGAUUGACACUGAGGCACGAGAGCAUGGGUAGCGAACAG
This 422-nucleotide ribosomal RNA is filed under the name uncultured bacterium. Its description in RNAcentral is "bacterial SSU rRNA". It matches the Rfam family "Bacterial small subunit ribosomal RNA", at positions 355 to 775 of the family's 1533-position model. The record is from RNAcentral.